Solanum lycopersicum (tomato) is the source of this 785-nucleotide long non-coding RNA. RefSeq lists it as uncharacterized. Lineage: Eukaryota; Viridiplantae; Streptophyta; Magnoliopsida; Solanales; Solanaceae. The record is from RefSeq and is a predicted model, not a curated record.
AUAAUAAAUAUUAUUUAUUUAUUUAGGUGUCAUGUAAUAAUUAAUAAAGGAAAAAUUAUAAAUAUACCCUCAAACUAUCACAAAUAAUAUGUUAAUACCCUUCGUUAUACUUUAGGGUUGUAUAUACCCUAAUUGUUACUCUUUUGGGUUGUGUAUACCCUUAAAAUUAACGGGUGCAUACGUGACUUCAUCCCAACCAUUUACUCGAUCUUAUUUAUUUAUUUAGCUAAAAUUAAAAGAUUCACCCAUUUUUCGUAAUUUACCCACUCAUGACCCAAAUUAAAACACCAUAACAUUUAAAAAGAUACAUAAAUAAAAAAGGAGCCCUCUUCCAUUAAAUCAUAACCCAGAACCUUUUAAAUCAAACUAAAGACAAAAUUAUUCUUCAUUAUAUUUUCAUUUCAGAUCUAUUUUAAUUUGUUGUUGAACGGAGUUGGAAAUGCUAUCACCAUUGAUGGACAAAACUUCUGGUUUAAAAUUCUGCCAUUAUGGCGAGCUCCAAGCUCCAGCGAAAUUGAAGUCUGACAAAAGUGGUAAACAAUACAGUCAACAACGAAUAGAUUUCAGCAACGGAGAAAAACCAACAAACCAACGACCAGCUUCAUCUCCAGCCAAGUGAAUUGAACCAAGUCCACCAUAUUUUUGUGGUUGUUGGAAAGUGUUUUUAUUUUAAUAUUGCUCAGAAUUUGAAAAUAUUCUUACAAUCUAUUUGUGUUGUGAGGAUGAUUAAUUGUUUUUUUCUUUUUGUAACUUUAAGAAGGAUACAUUCAUGAGCUUAUUCCAGA